RNAcentral lists this ribosomal RNA (274 nucleotides) under uncultured bacterium. RNAcentral describes it as "partial 16S ribosomal RNA". It matches the Rfam family "Bacterial small subunit ribosomal RNA", at positions 523 to 796 of the family's 1533-position model. The record is from RNAcentral.
AUACUUAGGGUGCAAGCGUUAAUCGGAAUUACUGGGCGUAAAGCGCUCGUAGGCGGCUUGUAAAGUCGGAUGUGAAAUCCCCGGGCUCAACCUGGGAACUGCAUUCGAUACUGGCAAGCUAGAGUAUAGUAGAGGCAAGUGGAAUUCCGGGUGUAGCGGUGAAAUGCGUAGAUAUCAGGAGGAACAUCAGUGGCGAAGGCGGCUACCUGGACCAAUACUGACGCUAAGGUGCGAAAGCGUGGGGAGCAAACAGAAUUAGAAACCCCGGUAGUCC